RNAcentral lists this long non-coding RNA (1430 nucleotides) under Mytilus galloprovincialis (Mediterranean mussel). The record is from RNAcentral. Lineage: Eukaryota; Metazoa; Mollusca; Bivalvia; Mytilida; Mytilidae.
GUUUAAAGAUUAAAUAAUAAUAGACAAAAAUACAGACUACAGAGAGAAAAAAAAAAGAAUUGGGAAAAAUAUAUUUUAGUAAAACAUAUAAAGAAAAGAGAAAAAUAGUUAAAAACAAAAAAGAAUAGAGACUAAUUGGGUGCUGAAUAGUAGAGUAGAGAACAAAGGGGACAACAGGAAUAAGGAUAGAGAAAAUGGGCAGGAGAAAAAUUGACAAAACAAAUAUUUUUUUUUUUGAGAAUAAAAAAAAAUUGUCUGUAAAAUAGAAAGUAAUAGGGUGCAACAUUAUAAAGAGUAUAGAAAAAUAGACAAAUAAAAGAAAGAAAAAAGAGAAAAAAAAUUAAGAAUGAAAAAUGAAGGACCACCUAUCCAUUUCCUCAUGCAUGCCUUUUGAUAAUACGAGCAUAUAUUUUGAUAUGACCAAAUUAUAUUCAUUUACAUCAUACUGACAACCUUGGUCUAAAACUUGGCAAUUGAUCGCAGUAUUAACUCGAACUAAGCAUUCAUAUAAAUUAUUUGAACACCGCUUGAAAGAUUACAUGCAAAUAACUUCAAGUGUUGGUGCAACCCAUCCAAGGAUCAUUGAAAAUGUCUGUCAAUGUGAAGGUUUAAAGUUAGACAGCGAAUUUGUUUUAAAAUCUGAUAAGUAAAUACUUAUAAAGAAGAAAACAGUUUGGGUUAGAGAUUACAUAUGAUUUGAACUAGAACUAUGUAACGAUUGGACUGCACCAACGCACCAGCAUGUACUGUUAUUUAUAGGCGCGAAAACUAUGUAGACCGUUUGAGAUUGCGAAGCAAUUCAGAAGAUCAAAGAACCAUUAGCGUUUAAUGAGCUGUUGUAUCACUUACUAGCAGGAUCAAAGCAUUGGUUUACUACAUUUAGGUGUAGGCCAAUAUUAUGAAGGACAACUUACGAAAUGACUACCUGUGAGAUACAUACUUGUUUUAUUACUAGUAACCAUUUUUCACGAAAAGAAUAUUAUUAGGAUUUGUUCAAAGGUGUAGUGUAAUUUUUGUUAGUUUAAUUUGUUACGGAAUAUAGAAAAUUAAAUCCAGUGUAAUGAAUCAGGACGAAAAUUAAGUUAUAUGAAAAUGUUUCUUUAACGAGGAAUUUAAACAAUUUCAAUAUUGUACCUAAAACUUAAACAGACUGCAUGUAUAUCCAGAAAUAAUUAGUAUAUAUUAUUUGCGGAAGAUAUCGAAUCUUUUCUUACGGUUCACAAGUUAAUCGGCAAUUGAUGGAUUGAAGACGGUAUUGGUUAACUCAACAGUAAACGACAAUUUUGAAGAAAGAAGUUCGGAAUCCAUUCAUUGACAUGAUAAACAAAUACAUUUAUAUUUGAAAAGGUAAAACUAAAGUGUUUUAAAAUGUAAAAGAUUUUCCUAGUGCAAUAACUCUUUACGGUUUAUUAUCCCAUAUCCUUUCGGAC